GACGAACGCUGGCGGCGCGCCUAACACAUGCAAGUCGAACGAGCGAGAGAGAGCUUGCUUUCUCGAGCGAGUGGCGAACGGGUGAGUAACGCGUGAGGAACCUGCCUCAAAGAGGGGGACAACAGUUGGAAACGACUGCUAAUACCGCAUAAGCCCACGGGUCGGCAUCGACCAGAGGGAAAAGGAGCAAUCCGCUUUGAGAUGGCCUCGCGUCCGAUUAGCUAGUUGGUGAGGUAACGGCCCACCAAGGCGACGAUCGGUAGCCGGACUGAGAGGUUGAACGGCCACAUUGGGACUGAGACACGGCCCAGACUCCUACGGGAGGCAGCAGUGGGGAAUAUUGCACAAUGGGGGAAACCCUGAUGCAGCGACGCCGCGUGGAGGAAGAAGGUCUUCGGAUUGUAAACUCCUGUUGUUGGGGAAGAUAAUGACGGUACCCAACAAGGAAGUGACGGCUAACUACGUGCCAGCCGCCGCAGUAA
This 482-nucleotide ribosomal RNA is filed under the name uncultured bacterium. Its description in RNAcentral is "partial 16S ribosomal RNA". It matches the Rfam family "Bacterial small subunit ribosomal RNA", at positions 28 to 523 of the family's 1533-position model. The record is from RNAcentral.